RNAcentral lists this ribosomal RNA (468 nucleotides) under uncultured bacterium. Its description in RNAcentral is "partial 16S ribosomal RNA". It matches the Rfam family "Bacterial small subunit ribosomal RNA", at positions 28 to 507 of the family's 1533-position model. The record is from RNAcentral.
GACGAACGCUGGCGGCGUGCUUAACACAUGCAAGUCGAACGGAAAGGCCCUGCUUUUGUGGGGUUCUCGUUUGGCGAACGGGUGAGUAACACGUGAGUAACCUGCCCUUGACUUUGGGAUAACUUCAGGAAACUGGGGCUAAUACCGGAUAGGAGCUCCUGCUGCAUGUUGGUGGUUGGAAAAUUUCGGCGGUUGGGGCUGGACUCGCUGCUUAUCAGCUUGUUGGGUGGGUAGUGGCUUACCAAGGCUUUGACGGGUAGCCGGCCUGAGAGGGUUACCGGCCACCUUGGUCCUGAGAUACGGCGCAGAAUGCAAUGGGAGGCAGUAGUGGAGAAUAUUGCACAAUGGGCGGAAGUGUGAUGCAGCAACGUCGCGUGCGGGAUGCCGGCCUUCGGGGUGUAAACAGAUUUGGACUGUGACGAAGCGUGAGUGACGGUAAUGGGUAAAGAAGCCCCGGCUAACUACGUG